RNAcentral lists this ribosomal RNA (2901 nucleotides) under Escherichia coli. RNAcentral's name for it is "23S ribosomal RNA". It matches the Rfam family "Bacterial large subunit ribosomal RNA". The record is from RNAcentral. Lineage: Bacteria; Pseudomonadati; Pseudomonadota; Gammaproteobacteria; Enterobacterales; Enterobacteriaceae.
GGUUAAGCGACUAAGCGUACACGGUGGAUGCCCUGGCAGUCAGAGGCGAUGAAGGACGUGCUAAUCUGCGAUAAGCGUCGGUAAGGUGAUAUGAACCGUUAUAACCGGCGAUUUCCGAAUGGGGAAACCCAGUGUGAUUCGUCACACUAUCAUUAACUGAAUCCAUAGGUUAAUGAGGCGAACCGGGGAACUGAAACAUCUAAGUACCCCGAGGAAAAGAAAUCAACCGAGAUUCCCCCAGUAGCGGCGAGCGAACGGGGAGGAGCCCAGAGCCUGAAUCAGUGUGUGUGUUAGUGGAAGCGUCUGGAAAGGCGCGCGAUACAGGGUGACAGCCCCGUACACAAAAAUGCACAUGCUGUGAGCUCGAUGAGUAGGGCGGGACACGUGGUAUCCUGUCUGAAUAUGGGGGACCAUCCUCCAAGGCUAAAUACUCCUGACUGACCGAUAGUGAACCAGUACCGUGAGGGAAAGGCGAAAAGAACCCCGGCGAGGGGAGUGAAAAAGAACCUGAAACCGUGUACGUACAAGCAGUGGGAGCACGCUUAGGCGUGUGACUGCGUACCUUUUGUAUAAUGGGUCAGCGACUUAUAUUCUGUAGCAAGGUUAACCGAAUAGGGGAGCCGAAGGGAAACCGAGUCUUAACUGGGCGUUAAGUUGCAGGGUAUAGACCCGAAACCCGGUGAUCUAGCCAUGGGCAGGUUGAAGGUUGGGUAACACUAACUGGAGGACCGAACCGACUAAUGUUGAAAAAUUAGCGGAUGACUUGUGGCUGGGGGUGAAAGGCCAAUCAAACCGGGAGAUAGCUGGUUCUCCCCGAAAGCUAUUUAGGUAGCGCCUCGUGAAUUCAUCUCCGGGGGUAGAGCACUGUUUCGGCAAGGGGGUCAUCCCGACUUACCAACCCGAUGCAAACUGCGAAUACCGGAGAAUGUUAUCACGGGAGACACACGGCGGGUGCUAACGUCCGUCGUGAAGAGGGAAACAACCCAGACCGCCAGCUAAGGUCCCAAAGUCAUGGUUAAGUGGGAAACGAUGUGGGAAGGCCCAGACAGCCAGGAUGUUGGCUUAGAAGCAGCCAUCAUUUAAAGAAAGCGUAAUAGCUCACUGGUCGAGUCGGCCUGCGCGGAAGAUGUAACGGGGCUAAACCAUGCACCGAAGCUGCGGCAGCGACGCUUAUGCGUUGUUGGGUAGGGGAGCGUUCUGUAAGCCUGUGAAGGUGUGCUGUGAGGCAUGCUGGAGGUAUCAGAAGUGCGAAUGCUGACAUAAGUAACGAUAAAGCGGGUGAAAAGCCCGCUCGCCGGAAGACCAAGGGUUCCUGUCCAACGUUAAUCGGGGCAGGGUGAGUCGACCCCUAAGGCGAGGCCGAAAGGCGUAGUCGAUGGGAAACAGGUUAAUAUUCCUGUACUUGGUGUUACUGCGAAGGGGGACGGAGAAGGCUAUGUUGGCCGGGCGACGGUUGUCCCGGUUUAAGCGUGUAGGCUGGUUUUCCAGGCAAAUCCGGAAAAUCAAGGCUGAGGCGUGAUGACGAGGCACUACGGUGCUGAAGCAACAAAUGCCCUGCUUCCAGGAAAAGCCUCUAAGCAUCAGGUAACAUCAAAUCGUACCCCAAACCGACACAGGUGGUCAGGUAGAGAAUACCAAGGCGCUUGAGAGAACUCGGGUGAAGGAACUAGGCAAAAUGGUGCCGUAACUUCGGGAGAAGGCACGCUGAUAUGUAGGUGAAGUCCCUCGCGGAUGGAGCUGAAAUCAGUCGAAGAUACCAGCUGGCUGCAACUGUUUAUUAAAAACACAGCACUGUGCAAACACGAAAGUGGACGUAUACGGUGUGACGCCUGCCCGGUGCCGGAAGGUUAAUUGAUGGGGUCAGCGCAAGCGAAGCUCUUGAUCGAAGCCCCGGUAAACGGCGACCGUAACUAUAACGGUCCUAAGGUAGCGAAAUUCCUUGUCGGGUAAGUUCCGACCUGCACGAAUGGCGUAAUGAUGGCCAGGCUGUCUCCACCCGAGACUCAGUGAAAUUGAACUCGCUGUGAAGAUGCAGUGUACCCGCGGCAAGACGGAAAGACCCCGUGAACCUUUACUAUAGCUUGACACUGAACAUUGAGCCUUGAUGUGUAGGAUAGGUGGGAGGCUUAGAAGUGUGGACGCCAGUCUGCAUGGAGCCGACCUUGAAAUACCACCCUUUAAUGUUUGAUGUUCUAACGUUGACCCGUAAUCCGGGUUGCGGACAGUGUCUGGUGGGUAGUUUGACUGGGGCGGUCUCCUCCUAAAGAGUAACGGAGGAGCACGAAGGUUGGCUAAUCCUGGUCGGACAUCAGGAGGUUAGUGCAAUGGCAUAAGCCAGCUUGACUGCGAGCGUGACGGCGCGAGCAGGUGCGAAAGCAGGUCAUAGUGAUCCGGUGGUUCUGAAUGGAAGGGCCAUCGCUCAACGGAUAAAAGGUACUCCGGGGAUAACAGGCUGAUACCGCCCAAGAGUUCAUAUCGACGGCGGUGUUUGGCACCUCGAUGUCGGCUCAUCACAUCCUGGGGCUGAAGUAGGUCCCAAGGGUAUGGCUGUUCGCCAUUUAAAGUGGUACGCGAGCUGGGUUUAGAACGUCGUGAGACAGUUCGGUCCCUAUCUCGCCGUGGGCGCUGGAGAACUGAGGGGGCUGCUCCUAGUACGAGAGGACCGGAGUGGACGCAUCACUGGUGUUCGGGUUGUCAUGCCAAUGGCACUGCCCGGUAGCUAAAUGCGGAAGAGAUAAGUGCUGAAAGCAUCUAAGCACGAAACUUGCCCCGAGAUGAGUUCUCCCUGACCCUUUAAGGGUCCUGAAGGAACGUUGAAGACGACGACGUUGAUAGGCCGGGUGUGUAAGCGCAGCGAUGCGUUGAGCUAACCGGUACUAAUGAACCGUGAGGCUUAACCUU